AUUGAACGCUGGCGGCAGGCCUAACACAUGCAAGUCGAACGGCAGCGCAGAAGAGCUUGCUCUUUGGGUGGCGAGUGGCGGACGGGUGAGUAAUGUCUGGGAAACUGCCCGAUGGAGGGGGAUAACUACUGGAAACGGUAGCUAAUACCGCAUAACGUCGCAAGACCAAAGUGGGGGACCUUCGGGCCUCACACCAUCGGAUGUGCCCAGAUGGGAUUAGCUAGUAGGUGGGGUAAUGGCUCACCUAGGCGACGAUCCCUAGCUGGUCUGAGAGGAUGACCAGCCACACUGGAACUGAGACACGGUCCAGACUCCUACGGGAGGCAGCAGUGGGGAAUAUUGCACAAUGGGCGCAAGCCUGAUGCAGCCAUGCCGCGUGUAUGAAGAAGGCCUUCGGGUUGUAAAGUACUUUCAGCGGGGAGGAAGGCGGUGAGGUUAAUAACCUUGCCGAUUGACGUUACCCGCAGAAGAAGCACCGGCUAACUCCGUGCCAGCAGCCGCCGUAA
Molecule: ribosomal RNA, 506 nt
Filed under: uncultured bacterium
Lineage: Bacteria
Description: partial 16S ribosomal RNA
Rfam family: Bacterial small subunit ribosomal RNA
Source: RNAcentral